CGGGGUGCACCAGGCGCGAAAACUUUGCAAUGCGGGAAACCGUGACAAGGGAACUCUGAGUGCCCGUUAAAUCGGGCUGUCCAUCGGUUUAAAUAACCGGUGAAGAAAGGGCCGGGCAAGACCGGUGCCAGCCGCCGCGGUAAUACCGGCGGCUCGAGUGGUGGCCACUAUUACUGGGCUUAAAGCGUUCGUAGCUGGUUUGUUAAGUCUCUGGGGAAAUCUUCCGGCUUAACCGGAAGGCGUCUCAGGGAUACUGGCAGACUAGGGACCGGGAGAGGUGAGAGGUACUCCAGGGGUAGGAGUGAAAUCCUGUAAUCCUUGGGGGACCACCUGUGGCGAAGGCGUCUCACCAGAACGGCUCCGACAGUGAGGGACGAAAGCUGGGGGAGCAAACCGGAUUAGAUACCCGGGUAGUCCCAGCUGUAAACGAUGUGCGUUAGGUGUAUCGGUGACCACGAGUCACCGAGGUGCCGAAGAGAAAUCGUGAAACGUNCCGCCUGGGAAGUACGGUCGCAAGGCUGAAACUUAAAGGAAUUGGCGGGGGAG
Molecule: ribosomal RNA, 546 nt
Filed under: uncultured archaeon
Lineage: Archaea
Description: bacterial SSU rRNA
Rfam family: Archaeal small subunit ribosomal RNA
Source: RNAcentral